Molecule: ribosomal RNA, 254 nt
Filed under: uncultured bacterium
Lineage: Bacteria
Description: partial 16S ribosomal RNA
Rfam family: Bacterial small subunit ribosomal RNA
Source: RNAcentral
UACGGGGGGAGCAAGCGUUGUUCGGAUUUACUGGGCGUAAAGGGCGCGUAGGCGGCCUGUGCAAGUCAGUUGUGAAAUCUCCGAGCUUAACUCGGAACGGUCAACUGAUACUGCUCGGCUAGAGUGCGGAAGGGGCAACUGGAAUUCUUGGUGUAGCGGUGAAAUGCGUAGAUAUCAAGAGGAACACCAGCGGCGAAGGCGGGUUGCUGGGCCGACACUGACGCUGAGGCGCGAAAGCUAGGGGAGCGAACGGG